GAGGAAAGCAUAGGCCUGGUCCCUCUGUGAGGACCACCAGGUGUGCUGUGGCAGAUGAAGCCUCACAGAGUUUCCAGCAUGUCUUGCUGCUGACAUUGGGCUCUCUGUCCUCACAUGCCAGAGCCCAGGACCGUCUCUGCUUGUAGACACGGAGCACAACCUGUCAGGAGGAGGAGACCAGCUUCAUCUGUCUCUCCCAGCCUGCUGCACUCAUUCCAUGGAUCCUGGCUGGAGAGACGCUCCUGGACGUGUCAGAGCAGUUAUGAGGACACGUUUCUGAGAGGCUUGCAGCUUCCUAAUGUUCUUCCUGAGUUCGUGAGAUUGCUGGAGUGUAGUGGUGUGAUCUCGGCUCACUGCAACCUCUGCCUCCCGCGUUCAAGCGAUUCUCCUGCCUCAACCUCCUGAGUAGCUGGGACUACAGCUGCUCUACAGGUUAUUUUCCUCUUUUGCGGGCGGGAAGAAAUGGCUUCAGAGAGGCUGUGAAGGCCACAGGGCAAGCAGAGGCUGGAACCAGGAGUCCAAACCAG
Pan troglodytes (chimpanzee) is the source of this 527-nucleotide long non-coding RNA. RefSeq lists it as uncharacterized. The record is from RefSeq and is a predicted model, not a curated record. The transcript has 3 exons. Lineage: Eukaryota; Metazoa; Chordata; Mammalia; Primates; Hominidae.